GCCGAAGUGGCGGAAUUGGUAGACGCGCGGGACUCAAAAUCCCGUUCCUCUAGGGGAGUGUGGGUUCGAUUCCCACCUUCGGCACCA
RNAcentral lists this transfer RNA (87 nucleotides) under Candidatus Peregrinibacteria bacterium. RNAcentral describes it as "tRNA-Leu". It matches the Rfam family "tRNA". Rfam says of the family: Transfer RNA (tRNA) molecules are approximately 80 nucleotides in length. Lineage: Bacteria; Candidatus Peregrinibacteriota. The record is from RNAcentral.